AUUGAACGCUGGCGGCAUGCUUUACACAUGCAAGUCGGACGGCAGCACAGAGAAGCUUGCUUCUUGGGUGGCGAGUGGCGAACGGGUGAGUAAUAUAUCGGAACGUACCGAGUAAUGGGGGAUAACUAAUCGAAAGAUUAGCUAAUACCGCAUAUUCUCUGAGGAGGAAAGCAGGGGACCUUCGGGCCUUGCGUUAUUCGAGCGGCCGAUAUCUGAUUAGCUAGUUGGUGGGGUAAAGGCCUACCAAGGCGACGAUCAGUAGCGGGUCUGAGAGGAUGAUCCGCCACACUGGGACUGAGACACGGCCCAGACUCCUACGGGAGGCAGCAGUGGGGAAUUUUGGACAAUGGGCGCAAGCCUGAUCCAGCCAUGCCGCGUGUCUGAAGAAGGCCUUCGGGUUGUAAAGGACUUUUGUCAGGGAAGAAAAGGCUGUUGCUAAUAUCGACAGCUGAUGACGGUACCUGAAGAAUAAGCACCGGCUA
Molecule: ribosomal RNA, 482 nt
Filed under: Neisseria flavescens
Lineage: Bacteria; Pseudomonadati; Pseudomonadota; Betaproteobacteria; Neisseriales; Neisseriaceae
Description: bacterial SSU rRNA
Rfam family: Bacterial small subunit ribosomal RNA
Source: RNAcentral